UACGUAGGGUGCUAGCGUUGUUCGGAAUCAUUGGGCGUAAAGCGCGUGCAGGCUGUUAGUUAAGUCGGGUGUGAAAUCCCUCGGCUCAACCGAGGAAGUGCAUCCGAAACUAACUAGCUAGAGAAUGGUAGAGGAAGGUGGAAUUCCUAGUGUAGAGGUGAAAUGCGCAGAUAUCAGGAGGAACACCGGUGGCGAAGGCGGGUCUCUGGGCAUUAACUGACGCUGAGGAGCGAAAGCAUGGGGAGCGAACAGG
RNAcentral lists this ribosomal RNA (253 nucleotides) under uncultured bacterium. RNAcentral's name for it is "partial 16S ribosomal RNA". It matches the Rfam family "Bacterial small subunit ribosomal RNA", at positions 524 to 776 of the family's 1533-position model. The record is from RNAcentral.